UGACGGCCAUAGCGGCGGAGUCACACCCGGUCCCAUUCCGAACCCGGCAGUAAAGCCCGCCCGCGUACCUGUCUGUACUGUAUUGCGCAAGUGUACGGGAACUCAGGCACGCUGUCAGCCACUUUUCCCA
Molecule: ribosomal RNA, 130 nt
Filed under: methanogenic archaeon mixed culture ISO4-G1
Lineage: Archaea; Methanobacteriati; Methanobacteriota; Methanomicrobia; Methanomicrobiales
Source: RNAcentral